UGGGGAAUAUUGCACAAUGGGCGCAAGCCUGAUGCAGCCAUGCCGCGUGUAUGAAGAAGGCCUUCGGGUUGUAAAGUACUUUCAGCGGGGAGGAAGGGAGUAAAGUUAAUACCUUUGCUCAUUGACGUUACCGACAGAAGAAGCACCGGCUAACUCCGUGCCAGCAGCCGCGGUAAUACGGAGGGUGCAAGCGUUAAUCGGAAUUACUGGGCGUAAAGCGCACGCAGGCGGUUGAUUGAGUCAGAUGUGAAAUCCCCGGGCUUAACCCGGGAAUUGCAUCUGAUACUGGUCAGCUAGAGUCUUGUAGAGGGGGGUAGAAUUCCAUGUGUAGCGGUGAAAUGCGUAGAGAUGUGGAGGAAUACCGGUGGCGAAGGCGGCCCCCUGGACAAAGACUGACGCUCAGGUGCGAAAGCGUGGGAAGCAAACAGG
RNAcentral lists this ribosomal RNA (429 nucleotides) under Chloroflexota bacterium. Its description in RNAcentral is "Chloroflexi bacterium partial 16S ribosomal RNA". It matches the Rfam family "Bacterial small subunit ribosomal RNA", at positions 355 to 776 of the family's 1533-position model. Lineage: Bacteria; Bacillati; Chloroflexota. The record is from RNAcentral.